This 1455-nucleotide unclassified non-coding RNA is filed under the name uncultured Neocallimastigales. Its description in RNAcentral is "partial contains small subunit ribosomal RNA, internal transcribed spacer 1, 5.8S ribosomal RNA, internal transcribed spacer 2, and large subunit ribosomal RNA". The stretch from base 678 to 1455 matches the Rfam family "Eukaryotic large subunit ribosomal RNA", at positions 1 to 629 of the family's 3401-position model. The record is from RNAcentral. Lineage: Eukaryota; Fungi; Neocallimastigomycota; Neocallimastigomycetes; Neocallimastigales.
UAAAAGUCGUAACAAGGUUUCCGUAGGUGAACCUGCGGAAGGAUCAUUAAAAAAUUGGACUCCAUUGGUGAGUUCAUUAAUAAUCCCUACCCUUUGUGAAUUUGUUUGUUUGAAUAAUUUUUUUUCCAAAAAAAAUUAUUGAAUGUCUUUCCCUGUUUUGGUGGAGCUUGUAAAGUGAAACCAGGCAGGGGAAUGGCAAACAAUAAUUAUUUUUGAAAAAAGACCUUUUUUUAAAAUUAAACUUUUUGUAUUCAUUUGUCUAAAAUUAUUUUUAUAAUAUAAAAACAACUUUUGACAAUGGAUCUCUUGGUUCUCGCAACGAUGAAGAACGCAGCAAAAUGCGAUAAGUAGUGUGAAUUGCAGAAUACGUGAAUCUUCGAAUCUUCGAACGCAUAUUGCACUUUUUUAGUUUACUAAAAAAGUAUGUCUGUUUGAGUAUCAGUAAAAUAUUCUCAUAAAAAACAUUGUUUUUUUAUGGUUAUGAGUGUUUUACAACGAUAACAAGUUGUUUCACUUUAAAUUCUUUGUUAUCAAAAAAAUCAUUAAAAGCUAAUUUUAAAGAUUUUUUAAAAUUGGAUAAAAUUUUCCCGUAAAAAGGAAUAACCUAAACAAUUUUAAAAAAUUAAAAUUGGUUUGAUUUUUUUUGAAACCCAAAGGAAAAAAAAACGAAAUUAACUUUAUCUCAAAUCAGAUAAGAGUACCCGCUGAACUUAAGCAUAUCAAUAAGCGGAGGAAAAGAAACUGACUAGGAUUCCCUCAGUAACGGCGAGUGAAGCGGGAAGAGCUCAAUUUGAAAUCUUCAAGGUUUUACCUUGACGAAUUGUAGUUUAAAGAAGUGUUUUCUGUUGGAGUUUUGGUAAAAGUUCUUUGGAAAAGGACAUCAUAGAGGGUGAGAAUCCCGUAUUUGACCAUUAUCUCCAGCUUUGUGAUACACUUUCAAAGAGUCGGAUUGUUUGGGAAUGCAGUCCAAAAUGGGUGGUAAAUUUCACCUAAAGCUAAAUACUGGCGAGAGACCGAUAGCGAACAAGUACCGUGAGGGAAAGAUGAAAAGAACUUUGAAAAGAGAGUUAAACAGUACGUGAAAUUGUCAAAAGGGAAGCGUUUGACACCAGUGUUGUUUUCUCGAAAAUCAAUUAAAAAAGGCCGGAUUUUGUGUUGUAUUGACUUUAUCAGCUUUCUGCACUUUUUUCUUGUCUUUUUUAGUGCACUUUUCGUUUAACAAGUCAACAUCAAUUUCUUUCGUUGUAAAAGGGUCAUUGGAAGGUGGCUUUCUUUUCGGAGAAAGUGUUUAUAGCCUUUGGCCUCUGCAAUCGGAGAGAUUGAGGUCUGCAGCGUAGAUCCUUCGGGGUUAGAUACAUUUGUGCUAAGUUAUAGCCUUUCAUAGACAACUUGUUGACUAUGAUCAGUCAUGUAGCUUACUCGCUGAUGCUAUUUUACCUACGCUUAGGAUGUUGA